UCCGGGUGAUCUUGAUCAGUGGGUUCUGCCGUGAUCAUGCAUAUGUACAUAAUCAACGAUUUCGCUCAGCAGUGAAGGAUGAUUGAGGCAAGAGGUUGACCUGAACCAAUCCUUCCCUCCGGGUUUUAGGUUGUGCAAAACAACCCAUGUCAUCUAACUUAUUAAUGUUUCCGUGUUCUAAUCAACAGCUAUGAUGCAUUGACGUUGACCUUUAAUCUAUUAGUUUUCUUGUCAGUCAU
Molecule: long non-coding RNA, 239 nt
Filed under: Elaeis guineensis (African oil palm)
Lineage: Eukaryota; Viridiplantae; Streptophyta; Magnoliopsida; Arecales; Arecaceae
Description: long non-coding RNA (EGUI_LNC023996)
Source: RNAcentral